AGUCGAACGGAAAGGCCCUGCUUUUGUGGGGUGCUCGAGUGGCGAACGGGUGAGUAACACGUGAGUAACCUGCCCUUGACUUUGGGAUAACUUCAGGAAACUGGGGCUAAUACCGGAUAGGAGCUCCUGCUGCAUGGUGGGGGUUGGAAAGUUUCGGCGGUUGGGGAUGGACUCGCGGCUUAUCAGCUUGUUGGUGGGGUAGUGGCUUACCAAGGCUUUGACGGGUAGCCGGCCUGAGAGGGUGACCGGCCACAUUGGGACUGAGAUACGGCCCAGACUCCUACGGGAGGCAGCAGUGGGGAAUAUUGCACAAUGGGCGGAAGCCUGAUGCAGCAACGCCGCGUGCGGGAUGACGGCCUUCGGGUUGUAAACCGCUUUCGCCUGUGACGAAGCGUGAGUGACGGUAA
RNAcentral lists this ribosomal RNA (407 nucleotides) under Cutibacterium acnes. Its description in RNAcentral is "bacterial SSU rRNA". It matches the Rfam family "Bacterial small subunit ribosomal RNA", at positions 60 to 478 of the family's 1533-position model. The record is from RNAcentral. Lineage: Bacteria; Bacillati; Actinomycetota; Actinomycetes; Propionibacteriales; Propionibacteriaceae.